This 408-nucleotide ribosomal RNA is filed under the name Diura knowltoni. RNAcentral's name for it is "partial 12S ribosomal RNA". The stretch from base 51 to 408 matches the Rfam family "Microsporidia small subunit ribosomal RNA", at positions 752 to 1207 of the family's 1311-position model. The record is from RNAcentral. Lineage: Eukaryota; Metazoa; Arthropoda; Insecta; Plecoptera; Perlodidae.
UAAACUACGAUUAGAUACCCUAUUAUUUUAAAUGUAAAUGUUGAAUACUUGAGUAGUAAGAGUUAUGGUCUUGAAACUCAAAGAAUUUGGCGGUGUUUUAGUCCUUUCAGAGGAACCUGCCCCGUAAUCGAUAUUCCGCGUUAGACCUAACUUAAUCUGGUGACUCAGUUUGUAUACCGCCGUCGUCAGAAUGUCCUAUAAGGGUAUAAAUUUUCUUUAUUUUAAAUGUGAAAGGAUGUCAGGUCAAGGUGCAGCUAAUGAUUAAGUGGUGGUGGGUUACAAUAAAUUUAUUUAUUAUGAAUAAUCAAUUGAAAAUGAUUGGUUUGAAGGUGGAUUUGAAAGUAAUUUUAUAUAGUAUAAUAUAUUGAUUUUGGCUCUAAAACAUGCACACAUCGCCCGUCGCUCUUA